AAGGUUUGGUCCAGCAAAUGACAUCACGGUAGCAAGAGGUGGCAAAGUGGGAUCCAACUCUUUUGGUGGCACGAUACAUUUGUCGCCAAAUACAGAGCAAAUGUACUGGAGCUUUGGAAGUGGAAAUAGCUUUAGACAGAAGGCGGAUGAAAGUAGUGUAGGCAAUCUACUUGGUCCAAACCUUGCACGAAGUUCCUCUAAGCUAGCCAUAAAGCUAAUACACACAUAAUCUCUCUUUUAACUGGCCAACGAGAAAUUGUGAUUCCCUGGGGAGACCAUGCCAAGAACUUUGAUUCUGCUGACCUAUGUAAUGCAUCCUCACAAGAUUCUAUCAUAAUAUUAUUUUUUUGCCAUGAGUGUCAGCAAAUACUGAGGUAACUUACGAUUAUCUAGCUAAUGCCUGCAAAUGAGUUUUCUUCAAGGUCAUGAAUUUUGGUGUGAGUGGUAAACUAGGUGGGUUUCAUGGGAAUAUAUGUUGGUGCUGCUGCAGGUUCUGAAUUUUUUAAGGUGAGCUCAGGAAUUGGAUAGCUCCUGCAGGUCGUGCAUUUCCUAGAUCAGAAAAGAAAAAGCAAUGGUCCCUUCUCAGAUCUUCUUGGUUCACAUUUUCAAAGAUAGAUGGGCAUUGGACAUUGCGUCGCUCAAUCGCGGUGAGCUGCUUCUACCUGCAUACAUCCUGCUAAGUCGGUGCAACCAAGUCAUGUGUUCUUCAGAUAAGUGUGAUUUUCCCACAAACAGUUCAAAGGAGACCUUCUAGACACUGAUCAUUCAAGUGAUUAUAUUUUUCUUAAGUUCUGCCUUUUUUCUAAUUGCAGUUUGGUUUCAUUAUUUUUUCAUAGAGGGUGUCUCU
Lolium perenne is the source of this 847-nucleotide long non-coding RNA. RefSeq lists it as uncharacterized. Lineage: Eukaryota; Viridiplantae; Streptophyta; Magnoliopsida; Poales; Poaceae. The record is from RefSeq and is a predicted model, not a curated record.